UUGACCUUCCCGGGGCUGAGCUGUGCCCUGGCACCGUUACCGCGCUGCAAACCGACUGCAAUCGGCCCUGCGCGAGCCGUGACCGCCCGCGCCGUGGCCAGGGGAUCCCGGUAUCUUCCAGACACAGCUGCGGGAUGCGGUGCCGGUGCAAGACCUCCCCUAGGGUGAUCCCUGUGGGAUGCCGGCCGUGCCCUGCCCUCGGGGCAGCUUUCUGGAAGAUCCCCAGGCCAUGCUUUAAAGCAGGCUGCUCUGGGGUUUGUACCUGGCCAGACCCUUGGUGUCUGGAGUGGACGUAUCCUGGCAAGGCACAAGGAGAAAAGACCCCAUUGUGUGACACCACAACAUUCACUUUUGCUGUGAUGAGGGAUCUCACAGGAAAAAGCUGGACAGAGAUGAAAUGCCUGUAUCCUUCCACCAGCAGGAUGAAGAUUUCACAGGAACUCCUCCAUUGUAUGUGUAAGGGAUUAUUAUUAACAACUGUUUCUAAAUGAUUCGUUUGCUAGAGCUCUGCAAACAACUUUGCUCUGGCAGCAAAAGCGUGAAGGGAAAUCCAGGCAAAUGGAAUGAAACCCUAACAUACUAUGCAUUCCUCUCGCAUUGCUUCUUACAAAAAGGUUCCACUUCUGAGGUCAAAAACCUUGCUGUUGAAAAACAUACUUUUUUGAGGAAGUCUGCAAAAAAAUAUUCUGUGUUGGUUAUCUCCAGUUUUCAGGGCUUUUUCCAAUCACACAAGUCCACUCGCAGCAACUCUAUUUUCACCUGUGGGAAAAUGCCAGAGCUCAAAUUCCUCCACUACCUUCAUUUUUCUUUCUGUCCCAAGAUUUUAAUUCAA
Oenanthe melanoleuca is the source of this 832-nucleotide long non-coding RNA. RefSeq lists it as uncharacterized. The transcript is spliced from 3 exons. NCBI's taxonomy places the organism in Eukaryota, Metazoa, Chordata, Aves, Passeriformes, Muscicapidae. The record is from RefSeq and is a predicted model, not a curated record.